GACGAACGCUGGCGGCGUGCCUAAUACAUGCAAGUCGAGCGAAGUUUUUCUGGUGCUUGCACUAGAAAAACUUAGCGGCGAACGGGUGAGUAACACGUAAAGAACCUGCCUCAUAGACUGGGACAACUAUUGGAAACGAUAGCUAAUACCGGAUAACAACAUUAACUGCAUGGUUGAUGUUUGAAAGUUGGUUAUGCUAACACUAUGAGAUGGCUUUGCGGUGCAUUAGCUAGUUGGUGGGGUAAAGGCCCACCAAGGCGACGAUGCAUAGCCGACCUGAGAGGGUGAUCGGCCACACUGGGACUGAGACACGGCCCAGACUCCUACGGGAGGCAGCAGUAGGGAAUCUUCCGCAAUGGGCGAAAGCCUGACGGAGCAACGCCGCGUGAGUGAAGAAGGAUUUCGGUUCGUAAAGCUCUGUUGUUAGGGAAGAAUGGAUAUGUAGUAAACUAUACAUGUAAAG
This 463-nucleotide ribosomal RNA is filed under the name Gemella morbillorum. Its description in RNAcentral is "bacterial SSU rRNA". It matches the Rfam family "Bacterial small subunit ribosomal RNA", at positions 28 to 471 of the family's 1533-position model. The record is from RNAcentral. Lineage: Bacteria; Bacillati; Bacillota; Bacilli; Caryophanales; Gemellaceae.